Molecule: long non-coding RNA, 2949 nt
Filed under: Homo sapiens (human)
Lineage: Eukaryota; Metazoa; Chordata; Mammalia; Primates; Hominidae
Description: long non-coding RNA NONHSAT084818.2
Source: RNAcentral
UGUCGCUUCCGCCUCGAGCGUGUGGCGGGAUUGCGGAAGCCCUCCACAGUUCAUAACCGUUGGCUGGUUAUGAACCGUUCAUAACGGGCGUUAAUAACCAUACCCUGUUAGACUAAGCAUGGUCCACCCGCGAAUCCUCUACAGAGAUGGCCAAGCGCUGGGGUCGUGGCUGCGUCCUCUAGGCCAGCCUUGUGCAAAGGACCUUCUCACCACAGAUCAGCCAGACCAUCUUCCUCCUUCCAAGUCAUCAAAGAGUUCCAAGCUGGUCACCUGUCCCUUGAUGUUCCCAGGAAACCAGGAAAGAGGACCCCUGCAUUUUAUCUUCCCAUCCAGAGUGGCAGGAUCUCUGCCUGGGAAACAGGCUUCAUUCAGCACAGCUGUGGUAGCAUUAACAAAGCAAAGUGGGCACAUGUAGAAGUUGAAGCUAAAACAUUCAAGAACUCCAGUCUGUUUCUGUGGAUGUUAAGGGGGUGAAGAUAAAACAAUGGAGGUGAUGAGGAGGAAUAACUUGAAGACAGUUUAAAGCCACAGUGAUACAAAGAAUGAAGAGAAGGAAGGUGCUGGAUUUUACUAAGAAAACAGACUGAGUUCAGGAGUCUCACCAGUAGAACUUUAUAGUAUUGCGUUUCGAUUACAUGUGUGUGAAUUUUAAAAACUGAUUACCCUCCAGUAAAAAUGUGGAACCAAUUUGCAUUUGGAUUAAAACAUUAGGUUUGGGGACAAAAGUGGACCCCAUGCUGCCUGAGAUGAAGAGAGAGAGCAGGAUGGCAGAGGAAUCACCAGCUCAAGAAACCCCAAGACUUGGACAGUCUUCCAGCAGAAGAGGCCAGGGUCUCUCAGUGUACUACUCCAAACAGGCCUCUCCUAGAGAUGUAGUCUGGGAAGGUCCAAAACCCACCAGACAGGCACAUCCAGUGGGGAAAAGACUUCCCAUUCCAGUGUGGCCUGCAUCCCUCACCUCUGCUUCCCAGUCUUCUGCUGACCUCAGAGGAGCAGGGUGGCCAUUGCUGAUCUGGGUUAGGGAGAUGCCAGAAACACACCCAGGUUUGAACCACAGGUUAGUGGUACAAAGUCACAGUCCUUGUGCCUUCAGAAAACCCAGAGGCCCCAAAUACGAGUGGGAAGAGAGUUGGGAAAAACUGAACCAGACUCUUCCAAUGGCCAUUAAAGAGAAAAUUCAGCAACGCUUGCCUUUGUCUUUGACCCUGAGAAGUUAAGGGACACAGAUUGUGGCGCCGUGAUGGAACAUGGAGGGAAGGCAUGGUGUGCUUCCUGCAGAGAUGCCUCUGGAGUCCCUGUGGCCACGGGAUCUCACUGGCCCCCUCUUCAGGCACCUUGAUGGGGCUCAGUGGGGCCAGGCCGAAGGGUGGAAGUAGAAAAGCAUCAACAGGCUGUCCAGAUCAAUUGGCACCAUCCAAGGCCCUGCUGCACCCACACAUGGAGGUCACCAGCUCAGCCCCAGGGGUUCUUUCACACACAAGCUCCUUCCCUAAGGAGUCCUGUGGGGUUCCACACUCAGUGUGCUGCCCAAGUCAGAGAUUUACCACAGAUCUGUCUCCCCCUCAACCUGGACUCAAGUUACUGUGGUGAGAAACCUCACUGUCCAUGGUUAACUGAAGAAAUCCCUCCUUCAGAAAGAACUUGAGUAGUAGAUGAGGUGGUUAGACAGGAUCUUUUUCCCUCAAGCUGUUUGGACGCCACAGCCAGGACCAACUCUGACAGCUGCGAGAGAGAGAGCCCCUCCAAUGUGGAACCUCCUACACAGCCCCCCUUUUGGGUCCCUGGAUAUGAGCCCCCAGCAGGACCACCACUCUAGGGGGAAGUCUCCCUCCCAUCCCUCAGAUCCCCACAUUGUUCCUCCUGUAGGAGAAAAGUCAGCCCUGCCCCUGGAGCUUCUCCAAGAUGGCACUGGACUCGCCGUUAUCUUGAGGAGCCAGGAGCUGAAAUGGCUCCGGCUUAGCAACCCAGUAUGGCCAAAGUGGAAAGGUUCUCUGUCCUUUGCAGUCACCAAAAAAAAAAAAAAAAAAAAAAAAAAAAAAAAAAAAGUAUGGUCUCACAGGCACAGCAUCUUCUUUUAAAAAAUAAAUAUUUAUAAACUUAAGGAAGAUUCAAAGAAUCAGGGUAUCUUUUCCUCCAAAAACACAAAUGUCCCGUGUAAGUCAAACCAAGGUGCGACCACCAACCCAUGAAUGAAGUCCCCUCCCCCUGCAGCUACAGGGUUGAGGGGCAGGUGGGCAGGGGAGCUGCUCUCUCUCCUGCCUUCAGUCCCCCUUGGUGAUGAGGUCCUCAAUGUAGGCGUCCAGCUCAUCAUCUGUGUUGAUGUCUAUGUCCUGGAAUAGAGCAGGGUAGGGAUCAACUGGGGGCCAGAAAGUGAUUGGGGGGCUCACCUUUCCACCCUUCUCUCAGCUCCUGGGAUGGAGCCCAGAGUCCUCUCCCUGACCUCCCACCCCGCCCUGGAUGUCAGGCUUCUGUCCUGUCUUAAUCACUCUCCCCUCCCUCAUCUAUUGUGCACAGAUGAUGCCCAGAUUUCCUACGCCCACCCUGCCUCUACCCCAUGUUCCCAAUUGUCUUAGAUGUAUAUUUCCCUCAGAUACUACAAAUAUGCCCACUUCUCUCCCUUCUCUGUCACUGCCCAAGGUCCAGGCCACCACUGUCUCAGACAACUGUGGGAGCCUCCUCACAGGAGGCUCUGGUUCUAACUUUGACCCCUCCAGGCCUCCUCCAACCAAGCAGGUACAUGUCUGAGACUGAAAACUGCAUCAUGCCACACCCCUCCAGUGAUCUCCACUGUUCUCGGGAUCAAACCCCACAACUUUCAAGCCCUGCCUCUGCCCCUACCGCCCCCAAGUCCCUGCUCAGGCCUCAAGUCCUGCUCUUCUUCCUUCUGCCUGGAAUGCUCGUGUCACACUCUUUGCAUGACUGGCUUCCAGUGUCUCCAAAUGCCUAAGC